GCCCUUAUAGCUCAGUGGUAGUAGCGUUUCCCUCGUAAGGAAAAGGUCGACGGUUCAAUCCCGUCUGAGGGCA
This is a transfer RNA of Rhizoclosmatium globosum, 73 nucleotides long. It matches the Rfam family "tRNA". Rfam says of the family: Transfer RNA (tRNA) molecules are approximately 80 nucleotides in length. Their secondary structure includes four short double-helical elements and three loops (D, anti-codon, and T loops). NCBI's taxonomy places the organism in Eukaryota, Fungi, Chytridiomycota, Chytridiomycetes, Chytridiales, Chytriomycetaceae. The record is from Rfam.